RNAcentral lists this ribosomal RNA (446 nucleotides) under uncultured bacterium. RNAcentral's name for it is "partial 16S ribosomal RNA". It matches the Rfam family "Bacterial small subunit ribosomal RNA", at positions 338 to 795 of the family's 1533-position model. The record is from RNAcentral.
CCUACGGGAGGCUGCAGUCGAGAAUCAUUCACAAUGGGGGAAACCCUGAUGGUGCGACGCCGCGUGGGGGAAUGAAGGUCUUCGGAUUGUAAACCCCUGUCAUGUGGGAGCAAAUUAAAAAGCUCGUACCACAAGAGGACGAGACGGCUAACUCUGUGCCCGCAGCCGCGGUAAUACAGAGGUCUCAAGUGUUGUUCGGAAUCACUGGGCGUAAAGGGUGCGUAGGCGGUUUGGUAAGUCGUGUGUGAAAGGCGCGGGCUCAAGCCGCGGACGGCACAUGAUAUUGCGAGACUAGAGUAAGGGAGGGGGAAGCGGAAUGCUCGGUGUAGCAGUGAAAUGCGUAGAUAUCGGGAGGAACACUCGUGGCGAAGGCGGGUUCCUGGACAUUAACUGACGCUGAGGCACGAAGGCGAGGGUAGCGAAAGGGAUUAGAUACCCGAGAAGUC